AGUAAUACAUCGGAACGUGUCUUCUAGUGGGGGAUAACUGCCCGAAAGGGCAGCUAAUACCGCAUGAGACCUGAGGGUGGAAGCGGGGGAUCGCAAGACCUCGCGCUGGAAGAGCGGCCGAUGUCCGAUUAGCUAGUUGGUGAGGUAAAGGCUCACCAAGGCGACGAUCGGUAGCUGGUCUGAGAGGACGACCAGCCACACUGGGACUGAGACACGGCCCAG
RNAcentral lists this ribosomal RNA (222 nucleotides) under uncultured bacterium. RNAcentral's name for it is "partial 16S ribosomal RNA". It matches the Rfam family "Bacterial small subunit ribosomal RNA", at positions 109 to 334 of the family's 1533-position model. The record is from RNAcentral.